ACUCAAAUGAAUAGACGGGGACUUGCACAAGCGGUGGAUGAUGCGGUUUAAUUCGAUGACAAACGAAGAACCUCACCAGGGUUUGAAACCCAAACGAAAUCCUUAGGAAACUUUGGACCCCGAAAGGCGGUUGGGCAGGUGAUGCAUGGUCGUCGUCAGUUCGUGGCUUGAGUUGUUCCCUUCAGUGGGGUAACGAACGCAACCCUCGUUGCCUGUUUUCUAUGUCAGGCGAGACUGCCCCCUCACGGGGGAGGAAGGUGAGGAUGACGCCAGAUCAGCAUGUCCCUCUGAUAUCCUGGGCUACACGCAUCAUACAAUGGUCAAGACAACGGGUCGCAAUGGGGUAACCCGGAGCUAAUCCUUAGAAACUUGGCCCCAGUUCGGAUUGAGGUCUGCAACUCGACCUCAUGAAGCCGGAAUCGCUAGUAAUCGCGGGUCAGCUAUACCGCGGUGAAUACGUUCUCAAGUCUUGUACACACCGCCCGU
Molecule: ribosomal RNA, 486 nt
Filed under: uncultured bacterium
Lineage: Bacteria
Description: partial 16S ribosomal RNA
Rfam family: Bacterial small subunit ribosomal RNA
Source: RNAcentral